Molecule: transfer RNA, 76 nt
Filed under: Sorangium cellulosum
Lineage: Bacteria; Pseudomonadati; Myxococcota; Polyangiales; Polyangiaceae
Description: tRNA-Pro
Rfam family: tRNA
About the family: Transfer RNA (tRNA) molecules are approximately 80 nucleotides in length. Their secondary structure includes four short double-helical elements and three loops (D, anti-codon, and T loops). Further hydrogen bonds mediate the characteristic L-shaped molecular structure. tRNAs have two regions of fundamental functional importance: the anti-codon, which is responsible for specific mRNA codon recognition, and the 3' end, to which the tRNAs corresponding amino acid is attached (by aminoacyl-tRNA synthetases). tRNAs cope with the degeneracy of the genetic code in two manners: having more than one tRNA (with a specific anti-codon) for a particular amino acid; and 'wobble' base-pairing, i.e. permitting non-standard base-pairing at the 3rd anti-codon position.
Source: RNAcentral
CGGGAUGUAGCCUAGUGGAAAGGCGCCUCAUUUGGGGUGAGGAGAUCCGUCGGUUCGAUUCCGGCCAUCCCGACGA